Molecule: long non-coding RNA, 1546 nt
Filed under: Felis catus (domestic cat)
Lineage: Eukaryota; Metazoa; Chordata; Mammalia; Carnivora; Felidae
Description: lncRNA (ENSFCAG00000040398.2)
Source: RNAcentral
UUAAUAAAAAUUGAAAAUAAAAAUGAAGUUUUUCUCUUUCUUUUGUGGCUUCUUACUCCCCAAAUUCAUCUCGCUGUGCCGCAUACCUGCUGAAUUCUGUGGUUCAGGUUGUGCAGACUGUUGUGUUAAUCCUCCAAUCAGUUUUCUAGGUGUUUAGGAUGGUUUAGUGUUGGUCUGGCUGUAUUUCAGGGACAUGAGACACACAAAAAACUUCCAUGCUGUUCUGCCAUCUUGGUUCCUCCCUAGGCAUUAUUAAUUUUGAACCACACUUUAAAAAAUUUAACUUGUGUGUAGAAUAAGUAAAUAUUUAAGGCUACAUAAAUUCAUUUUGUUGUUUCCCAAACAUGUUCAUAAUACAUUACCCUAUUCUGUUUCCUUUUUAUUCAAACACCAUCUAGUGCUUUUUAUGGUCUACAAUGACUGAAACAUGCUUGGAUGAGAAUGGACACACCCAUUUCUUCUUCCAUGUUGACAUCUUGGCUCCAGUGAUGUCGAAAGCUACCAUGCCAACCUCUACUAGUCACACAAGCGAGUUUCGGAUUGUAUCCAGUUUUUCCCUGUGAACCUCCGGCCUCCUUUGUGGGAUGCUUGCCCUCACCAUGGCACAUGAGAAGCCCAAGUAAGGACUUAAGACUGUGAACAAGGAUCUCAUUAUUUUGACAAUUGCAGGGUAAGAUGAGUCACAUAACAAUCCCAUAAUGUACACCUGGAUCAGGUUCUAGUGUGGUGGCAGUGUGUGUGAGAAUGGAAAUGGAGGAGGGGGAUUGGGAUGGUCCAGCAGGAGACAGAAAGUUUAGCUUUUCAAAAGGUUCCUCCUUGAUCCUUAGCUCCAGAACUGUGCUCCCAUAGAUCACAUUUCAACGCAGUUAGAAAAUUGCAAUUUACUUUGGUCAUUUCCUGACCACUACACUAGACUUUCUUUGGCUUGAUUGUCUGGCCCCCACCCCUUUUGCAGGUCUGAUUAUAUUGAAAUCAAAAGAGAUGGGGCAGGCAAAACCAAACUCGUUUUGUGAAAAUAGACCCUUUCUUCAUUUAGGGCCUAAUUAUUCAACUUCCCUUAUAUCCUAGUAAAUCUUUUGCUUUCAUUCUUUAAUAAGAAACAAAUCUUGCAUGUCUUGAUUAGUUAGAUAAUUUUAGAGCUUUUCUUGUGUUACUGUAAAACAAAGUAUUUUUAAAGACACAUCUGUGGGCAGCUAAUUUAAGUAGGGCAUUCUCUGUAUUUAGGGAGAGAUAAAUUUCACUAAAGAAGUUAAUCUUGGGUUACUCUUUCUUUCAAGUCAAGGAAUUUGAUACUUGUGGCAGAGGCCACUGAAGGUCCAAAACUAGAUGUCACUUCUCAGCCUCUCUUGCAGCUAGGUGUGGCUUUCCUUGCCUGUGAGAUAUGAGUGGAAGUCACUGCUCCUCUCCCAGGCCUGACUUGUAAACAUCUCCCGUGGGCAAGCCCCAUUCUCUUCUACAUUUCUCUGUUGAAUGGAGAGAUUCAAAGACUUGAAAGAGAUCAGAGUUAGAGAAUAAAGGAAACUGAGUCCUGAGAAACUUUGUAGAG